CCUACGGGGGGCAGCAGUGGGGAAUAUUGGACAAUGGGGGCAACCCUGAUCCAGCCAUGCCGCGUGUGUGAAGAAGGCCCUCGGGUUGUAAAGCACUUUCAGUGAGGAAGAACGCCUGGUGGUUAAUACCCAUCAGGAAAGACAUCACUCACAGAAGAAGCACCGGCUAACUCCGUGCCAGCAGCCGCGGUAAUACGGAGGGUGCGAGCGUUAAUCGGGAUUACUGGGCGUAAAGCGCGCGUAGGUGGCUUGAUAAGCCGGUUGUGAAAGCCCCGGGCUCAACCUGGGAACGGCAUCCGGAACUGUCAAGCUAGAGUGCAGGAGAGGAAGGUAGAAUUCCCGGUGUAGCGGUGAAAUGCGUAGAGAUCGGGAGGAAUACCAGUGGCGAAGGCGGCCUUCUGGACUGACACUGACACUGAGGUGCGAAAGCGUGGGUAGCAAACAGGAUUAGAUACCCUGGUAGUC
RNAcentral lists this ribosomal RNA (465 nucleotides) under Vreelandella stevensii. RNAcentral describes it as "partial 16S ribosomal RNA". It matches the Rfam family "Bacterial small subunit ribosomal RNA", at positions 338 to 795 of the family's 1533-position model. The record is from RNAcentral. Lineage: Bacteria; Pseudomonadati; Pseudomonadota; Gammaproteobacteria; Oceanospirillales; Halomonadaceae.